AUGGAGUACCAUAUAACUGGAAUUAUCCCAUGCAAGUCGAAGAAGGAUUGGCCGGUGCUGCCGGCUGGCGUCAAGUUCAAUCCCACGAAUCAGGAGCUGAUCGAGCACCUUGAGGCCAAAGUGAGUGCUGACAGCGCGAGAUCUCACCCUCUCAUCGAUUUGUUCAUACCAACCAUCGACAGCGAGCACGGCAUAUGCUACACCCAUCCUGAGAAACUUCCAGGUAUCACACUGAGUGGCCUAAGCAAACAUUUCUUCCAGCGCAAUUCCAGGGCGUUCAAAAGGGGCACGUGGACGCGUCGCAAGAUACAAUCUGAGUGCGGCAUGCACGUGAUGUGGCACAACACCGGCAAUACCUUGCCGGUGAUGGUCAACGGCCGGCAGAUGGGCAACAAAAAGGUUCUGGUGCUGCACACCAACAAGAACUUCGACCAGCAGAGGACCAACUGGGUGAUGCACCAGUACCACCUCGGGGACCUGGAGCAAGAGAAGGAGCGGGAGCUGGUCCUCUCCAAGAUUUUCCACCAGACGAACACUAGGGCCAGGAGUAAAAAGAUUAUAAGUUAG
This 567-nucleotide ribosomal RNA is filed under the name Triticum aestivum (bread wheat). RNAcentral's name for it is "partial small subunit ribosomal RNA". Lineage: Eukaryota; Viridiplantae; Streptophyta; Magnoliopsida; Poales; Poaceae. The record is from RNAcentral.